GUUUAACGCUACGCUGUUUCAAUCAAUUCACAUGCAGACUGCUGGCUGCAGGGUGUCUAUGCAAUAUGGCAGCCGCUGUGGCCGCAGGCAGCCGGUGCACAUUGUCCUAUCGCUUACAUCGCCGUUUCUGUACUUCGUGUCCCGGAGUGAAAUAAGCCGUCUUGUUGCUUCAAGACCUCGCGAUGGAGCGCGGUCCGAAGAAAAGAAAGAGAGGACCCUACAAGACUUAUUUAAAUCCCAAGUCUCAGUUCCAGCUACCAAGGAGCACCGCACGCGCUUGCCCGCCGACCGGUGCCAGCCCUAGCAUGCCUUCUUCGAGUGAUGAGGCAGACAGCGACACUGAAAGGGCAGAUCCACCAAGUCGAACAACAUCACUGAAGAGCCGGAAUAGUCACAUAGCUAGUCCGGGCUCCGAACGUCCGGAAAGUGAAGAAGAUUUCCCCGAGUCCGAUAAUGAGCCGGUAACGUCAAGUGGAGGCCGGUUAGGCUCGUCAGCUGGCAGUGCUAUGGAAGCUCCUGCUGCAGCCCCUGAAGCACAAGAGCAGAGGAACAGCGCUGAUCCGUCACAGAAAUUUCCUGCACGCGAGCCUCACGCCCCAGCAGAUGAAGUUAUUUUACUAAGGCUUAUCAGUUAAUUAGACUCUCCACUUCAAGACGGCAUUGCAAGCCUUUCUGACGCAGAUGAUUCGUCACUGUUUGAUAAGGAUGAAGAGGAAGCUUUUUCAAGUGACCAUGCUUCACAGCAAGGUUUCCCUGGAGAUUUUCUCACAUUAGAUGAUGACAUGCCUGCUGCAGAUCCAGUGACAGAGCCUGAUCCAUCUUGCAAGGCACGCUUUGGAGACCUUUUUACACAACUUGUCACUGAGAAAGUGGUUCUUUCGAAGGGAGAUAUUCUCCUAAUGGCACUAAAGCAUGCUGUGAAGAAUAAUUUGACUCUUUUGGGUUUAACUAGCUUAAUAGAUUUAAUUAACAGAAUUUUUGAUAAACCUAUAUUACCUCACUCACAGUAUCACCUACAUAAACUUUUUAGCGAAACUGGCACCACUAUGACUUUUUUCUUUUUUUGUCCGAGAUGCUUUUCGCAUAUUGGCAGUCUUGAGACAAAUUCUUACUUGAAAUGCUCGAAGUGCAGUCACACAACUUUUGUGUCUUCCCUUUCGGAUGCCCCCUUUUUUGUCACUCUCGAUGUGGAGUCGCAACUUCAAAGGCUACUUAAGGACUGUGAUCUUCUUGAUUUAACAAAGCCCCUUCCGACGAAUGGGACAUUUUCAGACAUCUGGGAUGGUACAAUGUAUCGUACUUUUGUAGCCGAAUCUCAACACUGUGGACCAAGAAUCAGUUUCUCGUUGAAUGCAGAUGGGACCCCGCUUUUCAAAUCAAGUGGGACAUCAAUUUGGCCCAUCCAGCUAAUUGUUAAUGAGCUCCCUCCACAGCAAAGAAUGUCCAAAUUGGUCCUGGCCGCAUUGUGGUUCUGGAAAGAAAAGCCAAACAUGGCACUUUUCCAAGGUACUUUUGUUGAGAAAAUGAACGAGCUGUGUGAGAAUGGCGUUGAAUUACAACGUCAAGGAAGGGUUGAAAAAUAUAAGGGUUGAAAAAUAUAAAACACCACCGCUGUCGUCUUGGGGCCAGCACAAUAAACAAUGUAGGGGCCAAAGUAGCGAUGCCAUCGCCUGCGUCACUUUCGUUGACAUGACAAACUUGACAUCGCACUGACAGUGUUGCCAAUAAUUCUGGCAAGCGAGGCGAGUUUUUCGAGGCAAUCUUUAAAAUUCAUUUGCAAAUAAUCUGCGCAUCUCUCAAGCCUGUAAUUGGCAUAAAUGACAGGAAUGUGCGUAAGAGUGUACCCAGCGAAUUUGAUUGAGAUUCGUUGACCUCGAAAAACCACCGGAGUUGACCUUUAAGCAUCCUUAAAUAAGUAAAGACAUGCUGUUCACGUGUAAACUGUUAACCUGUAUGAAACCUGUUUCUCAGUGCUUUACUGAAAUGCCAGUUGUAUGGCAAUGCCUUUUUCCUCCUUUGGAACUAAAAUUCCUUUUAUUGUGAUUCAAUUUACUGUUAUAAGUAUUUGUAAUAUUUGAAGUAUCUUGUACGCCUUGUGUUGCAGCACUGGCCAAGAAAUUUUUUUACACCAAAAUAUGUUCUGUGCUAUUUAAAUCCUGUUUGCCUUGAAAUAAAAUUCUUUUUUUUUCAAUGUUA
This is an RNA transcript of Rhipicephalus microplus (southern cattle tick), 2196 nucleotides long. RefSeq lists it as uncharacterized. The record is from RefSeq and is a predicted model, not a curated record. Lineage: Eukaryota; Metazoa; Arthropoda; Arachnida; Ixodida; Ixodidae.